Molecule: long non-coding RNA, 235 nt
Organism: Pelmatolapia mariae (spotted tilapia)
Lineage: Eukaryota; Metazoa; Chordata; Actinopteri; Cichliformes; Cichlidae
Exons: 3
Source: RefSeq, a predicted model, not a curated record
GGAAAUCUGAUAGGUGUCUGAUAGACAUGGAGUGUUGUUUGUUAAUAGAAGCAAAGUUAAUGGGUUAACAAUCGUUUUUGUGUAGAGUGCAGCAAAGGAACUUCCCUUCCAGAAGCCAAAUAACAGAACUGAAAAUACUUUGUGAUUUCACUAAGUGGAGCAGAAUCACAGUGAUGAAAAUGUAUUCCAAGGUUUUCAUUUUUCUUACCGGAGCUGUGUACAUCUACUACCAGGU